Molecule: ribosomal RNA, 482 nt
Filed under: uncultured bacterium
Lineage: Bacteria
Description: bacterial SSU rRNA
Rfam family: Bacterial small subunit ribosomal RNA
Source: RNAcentral
GAUCAUGGCUCAGGAUGAACGCUGGCGGCGUGCUUAACACAUGCAAGUCGAACGAAGAUGCCGGAGUGCUUGCACUUUGGCAGACUGGGUGGCGGACGGGUGAGUAACGCGUGGGUAACCUGCCUUAUACAGGGGGAUGACAGUUGGAAACGACUGCUAAUACCGCAUAAGCGCACGGUAUCGCAUGAUACAGUGUGAAAAACUCCGGUGGUAUAAGAUGGACCCGCGUCUGAUUAGCUAGUUGGUGAGGUAACGGCCCACCAAGGCGACGAUCAGUANCCGGCCUGAGAGGGUGAACGGCCACAUUGGGACUGAGACACGGCCCAAACUCCUACGGGAGGCAGCAGUGGGGAAUAUUGCACAAUGGGGGAAACCCUGAUGCAGCGACGCCGCGUGAGUGAUGAAGUAUUUCGGUAUGUAAAACUCUAUCAGCAGGGAAGAUAAUGACGGUACCUGACUAAGAAGCACCGGCUAAAUACGUG